RNAcentral lists this long non-coding RNA (1280 nucleotides) under Callithrix jacchus (white-tufted-ear marmoset). RNAcentral's name for it is "lncRNA (ENSCJAG00000073900.1)". The record is from RNAcentral. Lineage: Eukaryota; Metazoa; Chordata; Mammalia; Primates; Cebidae.
CUCUGUUCUCCGUGCUCAGAAAAAAACCCUUUGAUAAGGUUGUUAUGGAUGCAAGGCAGAGCGGGUUGGGCUGGGUGCUUUUCUUAGCCUGGCAUUACACAUUUAUGAUGCAAACCAAUGAAGAAGCAAGGGCUCAGAGUGCAAGGUAAAACCUCAUUGAAAUAACUGCAGUAAUGAAGACAUUACCUAAAGGAGAGGACAGACUGUGCAAAUGGGAACAGCUUCGGGGCUGGACACAAGUGGCUGGGAAACGUCCACAGCCGUUCUCACUCUCUGGGAGGCAAGGAUGGAAAUCACUGGUGACACAUGGGUCAAUGGCCUGUCUCCUGGCUCAAGACACACAAAGAAGAGACUCUUUGAAGUCUCAGGAGCACUCAGUUGAAUAGCACCUGGGAUUUGAAGGUCUGCCGUAGACUCUGAAGAAAAGGAGAAAACACACACAAACCACCCAAUCAUAGGGCCCUCUGUGGCUCCUCACCCACCCUCCAUCCUCCACCCUCCACCUUCCACCUAUUCCACUCCUCUGGAUUGUCAAUUAAAAUAAACAGCCUUGUAUUCCACGGCCUGGCUUCAAUCUAUCUUGGCCGGGAGGAUACGCACGGAUUUGUGGCAGUGCCUGAAAGUCCUUGCUCAACCUUUUUAAUAUCUGAACAAAGCAAUCAAACCCGAUAAGAUCUAGCGAAGGCAAGAUCACUCUUCUGUCCCCGGGAUGGAAGCUUAUUAGUCUGUGGCCCACAUCAUCAGAGUUAUUGUGCCAUGUUAAAUUUAUUGGUACUAUCUCACCUCAUUAAAUACUUAAAUAGACCUGACAGGACAGAAAAACGGGCUUUUUAAUUUUUUUCUUCUCUCCAAAGGGAGCUGGUGUUUCCCAUGUCCCAGUUCACCUCUGCUGCAGCUGUUGGCAGAGAAGCGAGAAAGCCUGGCUCUGUGCGGAAGGUUCAGGCUGGCUGCCUGGCGGCUCCCAGGGUCCUCCUGACCCUGACCUGCCUUGGGCCAGAAGUGAGGAAAGCACCUUGCAGGGUGUGUCCGUGUCCGUGGGAAGGGGGUAAAGAAAAGGCAGAGCGUAAGCAACCAUGACAUUUAUUCUCUUUGCCGAGUUACCCAAAUCUGUGUGACUCUUAGCAUUUUCUAAGAGAAGCCUUGUCAGUCAUUUAGCCAGGACACUUGCCAGCAAUAAAGGUCACAGUCACUGAAGAGAGAGGAAAUAGGGAGGGUAUAGGGGAGGGUGGAAGUGGAGUGGGAGUGAGCUCACAGCAGCUCCCCAUCCAUCCCCCAGCACU